GCAGAGCCAUGGCCCUCUUCUUUGUUCUCUGCUGGAUCCAAGAGUCGGGGGUCUCCCUAUGUUUCCCAGGCUGGCCUCGAACUCCUGACCUCAAGUGAUCCUCCCACCUCAGCCUCCCCGAGUGCUGGGAUUAAAGACGUGAGCCACGGCACCUGGCCUGAAUUUUCCUCAAAUUCAAAAAAUCCUGAUGAAGGUUUGGCUAAAAUCUUUGGUGAGUUACCCCACUCCCUGUGGAACCUCAGGCUGGAUUUGAAGAGUUGCGUGCAUGGUCCUCAUUGUCUCCCAGAUGAAAUUGUGCUCCAAGUGUUUUCCAAGGUUCCGUAUGACCCAUCAUUUGAUGAAACAAGAACAGCAGUCAGAUCCAUUACAAAGAGAGACACACAAAAAAACUAUGUGAAAAUGAGCUUAGCCCCUGGUGUUGUGUUGGAACUUCAGAUGCUUGCAGACACUUCAUGAAUGCUCUGUGACACUCAGAAUAGGCUAUUCCCAACAGAAGAGCUUGAACAAUGCUGCAUUUGCAUCAGGUUCAAAUGAGCGAGAGGAACAUUUGGCUAAAAUAUUUGAUGAAAUUCUACUGCAGGUGUUUCCAAAGUUUCCGUAUGACCCAUCAUUUAACGAAGCAACAGCAGUCAGAUCCAUUACAAAGACAGACAUGAGAAAAG
RNAcentral lists this small RNA (662 nucleotides) under Homo sapiens (human). RNAcentral describes it as "chromosome 2 open reading frame 92 (ENSG00000291598.1)". The record is from RNAcentral. Lineage: Eukaryota; Metazoa; Chordata; Mammalia; Primates; Hominidae.